RNAcentral lists this ribosomal RNA (492 nucleotides) under uncultured bacterium. RNAcentral's name for it is "partial 16S ribosomal RNA". It matches the Rfam family "Bacterial small subunit ribosomal RNA", at positions 29 to 507 of the family's 1533-position model. The record is from RNAcentral.
AGUGAACGCUGGCGGUAGGCCUAACACAUGCAAGUCGAACGGCAGCACAGUAAGAGCUUGCUCUUACGGGUGGCGAGUGGCGGACGGGUGAGGAAUACAUCGGAAUCUACUUUUUCGUGGGGGAUAACGUAGGGAAACUUACGCUAAUACCGCAUACGACCUACGGGUGAAAGCAGGGGAGCUUCGUACCUUGAGCGACUGAAUGAGCCGAUGCCGGAUUAGCUAGUUGGCGGGGUAAAGGCCCACCAAGGCGACGAUCCGUAGCUGGUCUGAGAGGAUGAUCAGCCACACUGGAACUGAGACACGGUCCAGACUCCUACGGGAGGCAGCAGUGGGGAAUAUUGGACAAUGGGCGCAAGCCUGACGCAGCCACACCGCGUGGGUGAAGAAGGCCUUCGGGUCGUAAAACCCUUUUAUUGGGGAAGAACAGCUGCAUGUUAAUCCCUGGCUGUUCUGACGGUACCCAAAGAAUAAGCACCGGCUAACUUCGUG